CUCUCCCUAUCUCUCUCUAUCUCUCUCGUGGCUAUGCCCUAGCUUUCUCCCGUCCACCGCUUCUCUCUCUCUUGCACCCCCACUCCCGGCUACCACUUCCCUCUCUCUUGUAGCACGAGUCCCAGUAGCUGCUCUCCUCUCUGUUGUGCCCCCGAUCCCGGCAACCGCUCUCCUUUGUCGUAUGCCCUUGUCCCGGCCGCGCUGCCCUAUUCUAUCUCGUGCCUCUGCUCCCAACCGCCACUCCCCUGAGUGUCUGGCGCCCUUGUCCGAGAAUCUCAGCUCGCCUUGAAAUCAGGCCAUGCUGAUGCUCCAGGAUAUAUCAAGCAACAAUCCAAUAUCUGCAGUGAUUGAAGGGAUUGAAGGGAAACAAUUUUUGCUUCUGAGCUACAAGGAGGAGAAAAUUGAGCUCAGUUUUCCUUAACAUAAUUUGUGCUAGGAGAAAUAUUUUGUAAUAAGUUGGUUGUUGUCAUGUUAUUGUUGUUGAUUCUUGUUUGGGUCUUUUAGUGCUCAGUUUUCCUUAACAUUAUUUGAGCUAGGACUUCAUAUUUUUCAAUGUUUUUGUAUAGUUGUUUUUGGUAAAAUGAGCUAGAACUUUGGUAUUUAUUGAGCCAAAAACUGGAACUGAAGACAACAAAUAGCAAACUAAACAAAGAAAGAAGCAGCUAAAUGCCAACUGAGAAGAAAAAAACAGGACUAACACUCACAACAAAGACAUACUAGACACUAGAAAUUAAAGAGGGAACGCUCCAGGAGUCUCAUUAGCCAUCUAGGAAGGUCCAUGCCUUUGUGGAAGAGUGACAACUGAGAAGCAUUUACACCUUUACUAGCCAUGGUUGCUGCAAUCUUGUUCCAUCGGGCAGGGAUAAGGUGAAUGGAUGGUUCAUUGAAUCUUCUCAUCUGGUGUUUGAUGUUUGCCAGAGAAUUGGCAGCCCUCCAAUUGUUAACUUCCUCUAAACCAUGAAGGAAUCUCCACAGAUCUGAGUUGUUGAUAUAGAUAUGUUUGCAAUUCAAAUUUAGCUCUUCAACUCUUUCCAAUGCAAUAAGAAUGGUGCUUCCAUCAGCUGCAAUAUUGGUAUCCUCCAUGAUGGGGGAGAGCCCUG
This is a long non-coding RNA of Dioscorea cayenensis subsp. rotundata (Guinea yam), 1100 nucleotides long. RefSeq lists it as uncharacterized. The record is from RefSeq and is a predicted model, not a curated record. Lineage: Eukaryota; Viridiplantae; Streptophyta; Magnoliopsida; Dioscoreales; Dioscoreaceae. The transcript is spliced from 2 exons.